UACGAAGGUCCCAAGCGUUGUUCGGAAUCACUGGGCGUAAAGGGAGCGUAGGCGGCGUGGUAAGUCAGAUGUGACAUCCCGGGGCUCAACCCCGGAACUGCAUCCGAUACUGCCAUGCUUGAGGGUUGGAGAGGUGACUGGAAUUAUCGGUGUAGCAGUGAAAUGCGUGGAUAUCGAUAGGAACACUCGUGGCGAAGGCGAGUCACUGGACAACAGCUGACGCUGAGGCGCGAAGGCUAGGGUAGCGAAAGGG
This 253-nucleotide ribosomal RNA is filed under the name uncultured bacterium. RNAcentral's name for it is "partial 16S ribosomal RNA". It matches the Rfam family "Bacterial small subunit ribosomal RNA", at positions 524 to 776 of the family's 1533-position model. The record is from RNAcentral.